UGGGGCGCAUUUAGUUGUGGUUAAUGGUGCGGUCAGUGGAUAAGUACUUAGAUUAGAGAUGCUUUGUGUCUGCAGUUUGUUUAGCUGCUGGAUAUAAUUUUACAGGGAAAUUUUUGUUUUGCAAUUUUUUCAGUUAACUAUUUUGUUAAUUUUAAUGCCCAUAAAAUUUGGGUACUUCAAUUCACUUGCAUUAUAGGUGACUGACUGAUAUUUGAAAUAUUAAUUUCAAUUUAUUUUUAUAGCCAUACUUCAUGUUUGAAGUUGGGAAAAGUAGGAGGUUCACUGUUUAUUGCAUUUUGUGAAAGCUCCUCUUGCUCUUACAAUAUCAAAUAUUUCGAUUUUUUUCCUCAUAUUAAAGUGUUAUCUUGCAAAAAAGUGAUUCAUUUUAACGCCCAUUUUUUUACUAUGUUCUCCAUCUAAAAUUCAGUAAUCCAGUUCGCUUUGGUAUCAUGUCUAAUCUGUUACCCUCUGCCUUCCGCAAUUAGCACGACUUCAUCUACCUCCUUUAUGCCCACUAACCAAUAUUCACUCAGUUCACAAUGUUCUUUUUGUCUUAUUCACACUUGUAUUUUUGCGUUGUUGUUGUGCUUUACUGAUCAGCUGGAAAAAGGAUGUACGACAAAUGCAUGACGCCUGAUGUUUGAACAAGGUAUUUUAUCAACUAUAUCAUCGCACAGUUGUAGCAACAAGUAAGAACGACAAGAUGACUGGCACCAAAACAGUAAUCGACGGCCUUAUUAUAUUAACCCUUCUGUAAACUAGCUUCUGAAAAAAUCUGUAAAUAUGUAGAUAACGUGAGUUUAAUGUGUAAACAAUAUAUGUUUGUAUAUUUGUAUACAUAUUAAGUCUUCUGGUAA
This is a long non-coding RNA of Capsicum annuum, 857 nucleotides long. RefSeq lists it as uncharacterized. The transcript is spliced from 4 exons. The record is from RefSeq and is a predicted model, not a curated record. NCBI's taxonomy places the organism in Eukaryota, Viridiplantae, Streptophyta, Magnoliopsida, Solanales, Solanaceae.